Molecule: microRNA precursor, 68 nt
Organism: Cavia aperea (Brazilian guinea pig)
Lineage: Eukaryota; Metazoa; Chordata; Mammalia; Rodentia; Caviidae
Source: Ensembl
GAUACUUGAAGAGAGGAUACCCUUUGUAUGUUCACUUUAUAAAUGGUGAAUAUACAGGGGGAGACUCU